RNAcentral lists this long non-coding RNA (4023 nucleotides) under Eucalyptus grandis. RNAcentral's name for it is "long non-coding RNA (EGRA_LNC000205)". Lineage: Eukaryota; Viridiplantae; Streptophyta; Magnoliopsida; Myrtales; Myrtaceae. The record is from RNAcentral.
GGCGAAACAUUUCAAUUGCAAUCCGCUUUCUUAGGGCUAAAACUCCAGAGCAAAGGGCUGCUGUUGAUUUGGAUAUCCACUACUCAAAGGUAGGCCGUACUUAUCAUCUUUGUAAAAUCCCCUGCAUCCUCCUUCCAUCCCUGUCAAAGAAGAUGUACUUAAUCUUUCUCCAUCCCGAAAGAAAUGAGGAUUUCAGGAGAACAAUCGGCAGUUCUGUGAUGGUAUGAAUUAAGGACUCCAAGUAAAUUCAACUGUGUUCUUAUGAUUGGAAACUUCUUUUGGGACAUGGAAGUGCAUUGGUGUUUUAGGCUUCCACAGACAAAAGUUUCAGAUAAUCUGUGUGUGUGUGUAUGUGUGUGCGUGUGUGUGUAGAGAGCAAUCCAAAGGGUAAAACCGUCGGUCUUUUUUUCUUUCUCUUAUGGAAGCAUUAUGUAUUAUGUGCAGGAAUAUCUCGAGGAAUAUGUUGGAUCUAGCACCCGGAGGGCAGUGCUCCACCAAGUAAGAUAUCUUGAAAAAUCUCAAGUUUCUUUGGUCUAGCAUUAUCAUAAUGGAGCAAACUCUACAUCAUCUUAGUGACUCUGUGUUUUUUAGAAACUUCCUGAGGGUUCUUAAAGGUUUAGCAAGUGUUUAUGUCUAUGAGUGUGUUCCAGGUUUAAAUGCACAACAAUGCUGUAUAAACAAGUGCCGAACUAUCAAUGAGUUUUCCUAUCCUUAGUAGGAUUUCCAGUGAUGCAUUUGCUUUGGUUUUCACAGUUAAACGGACCUACCCCUAAAUAACCAUGGUGAAAUAUGGUAUUUUACCUCGGCAACUUUUUUCACAUAUAAUUAUUCACAUUUGCUUUGAGUUCAUUGAAACUGGAUGAAUUUAAUAAGAGAUUACUUCACUAAUAAUUGCUACUUUGUGUCAAGUCAAUAAUUGGUUUUUGACUAAUUUAAUUUUAUAAUUGUAGUGUAACAUUGAUAACUUCACUAAGGACUAGAUCCUCUCACCUGCAGGAAUAUGUUAAAAGUAUUGCAACAACAGGACUGCAGUCCGACUAUGGCUUUCAGGGUCAGAUAAAUGCUUGCUGGAAUCAUAGAAUGACAAAAACAGAGAUAGAAUUAAUCCGUUCUGCCGGAUUUCCUGUAUCAAUCAUUCAUGGAAGGUAUACAACUAACCUUUAUGUAACUUUAUUGCAUUGGAAAAAAAUUAGCAAAUGAUAGUGGCAGCUCAACAGGAAAUUUGUAAAACAUUGGAUUAAAACAUUGCAGUAGGUUAAGGAAACAAAUUUGAUGGGACAAUGUUCUCAAUGUUGAUAUUUACCUCUCCUAGUCAAUCAAUAUGUAACUUGAUUAUGCCUCCCCCAGCAUUAUCCCCUUAGUGAUAGAGGGGCAUGAGCACCUUUGGGGGUUUUCCAACAUCAGCCAUUUGCUUUCAUCACAUUUUCACGAGGGCUAACCAAGAUAUAUAGGUGAUUUGACAGAAUCAGUUAUCACUGUCGAGAAGUAUUAGUUCCUGAUUUAGUGGAAUGGUUUGAGUGGUGUUCUCUCAACUCUAAAUUUCCUCAGAUAUUUACAAAUGCUUGUCGCAAACAGUGUCAUUCUACUUCAGAGAUGAUUAAGAUUUCUCUAUUAUAUUCAAUUGCAGUGUCAUUUGGUAGAAUGUUGGCGAUUUUACUGUAUGUUCACCUUGUAUGCAGGCAUGAUGUUGUUGCUCAAAUAUGUCACGCAAGAAAUCUGGCAGAGAAAUUAAAGCCUGUUGCUAGAAUGAUAGAGCUCGAUGGAGGGCACCUAGUGAGUCAUGAGAGGACAAAAGAGGUACUUUAUUUGGAACAAGAAUUGGAAAGCUAGUUACUUCCAAGUGCACUGGACAAGCAUGUGAAUUAGUUGGAUGAAAUUAUACUAGAUGGUUAUCUUAGUGCUUGUAGGUUUUGUGCUAAUUACUGAUGAAAUGGAUGAACUUUAAUUUAUUCAAUUUACUUGUUAUGUGUAUGAAUGAGAUCAAAUGGAAUUUGUAGAGUUUAUUCAGACUUGAGAGGUUAUUAGAUGUUGCUUUUGAACAUAUUAUUGCAGUCCAGAGUCUCUAGAAAACGAGGAAAUCACAUGAAACUGUUUUGGUAUUUUGGUCAUACAAGUUAAUUUAAUUGUCUGGGCUUGAUUGUUGAGCCGCAAAAGAUGGAUUGAAGCUACGCUUAUGUUCAGGUUAAUCAAGUUCUUCUCGAGCUCAUCAAGGUAUCGGAAAUGAAGGUUGUCCAGCAUGAUUGGACUGACUUGCCUAACAAAAGCUCUGGUGAGUAUUUCCAUGCUCAGAAUGAUUUCCUGGUCUCAUUUAUUCAUUCUCUGAUGCUUUUGUGGACGUUGGACGUGCGUGACAUCACAUGUGUAUAUAUAAAUGCGUGCAUAUACCAUACACACAUGUGACCUGCUUCAUGUAAAAGAUCAUAUGGGCCAAGCCUAACCCACAUUCAUUGGCAUUGAUCUUCUCUAAACAAAAAUGAGAAUUGCACUACAAUAUCUGUUAGGUUAAAUAUUUUAUUCAUUUCUGAAAGAACUGCAAGCGCUGAUGUCUACUGAUCCUUUUACAGGAUUGCCGGAGACAAGCAUGUCUAUUACAAGAACACAUGCAGAGGGAGAAUUACUUACGUGUCUUGUUAAUGGCGUUAUCGAAAGGCUAAAUUUUCUCCUGUGGCACUUUUUUGGUUGGUUAAUGAUGGGAUUUGAGUCUGGAAGAAAGGCAAUAGAAUUCCUAAAGCCCAUCAAGGUCCAAUCUGCCCUCACAUAUUCACUUAGCUAUUAAUGCGCAGGACCCUCUUUCUGCCUGGUAAUGUCAAUUCUGUCUCCAACUUAAGACCGGAUUUCUUCUUAAGACAUGCAGGCAUAGUAAAAUCUUUAGGUACUGGAAAAUGAAUAUUGACUGUUUUUUUGCUUCCUUUACAUUGCAGAGUUUCCUUCACCAGAGUAGAGUGGCUACUGUAACAUGGUCCUACUGAAAAUAGAAGAAUUUGACUAUGCAAUGAGACUGACAGAAUUGUCAAGCCCAUCCAGAGAGAAGCCAACUUUUAAGGCAGAUUUCUGUAGGAUAGGCAAAAAGGGAGACAAAUGUGAGAAUUGAACCCCUCCCUUUCAACACUGGAUUUGUAUUUCAUUGGAAACCUGUCCUCUUUUUUUUUUUUUUUUUUAAUUAUUAUUAUUAUUAUUUUUUUUUUAAUGUAAUCAACCGAUGCGGUUUCUUUAAUAUAUUCAAUGAAUUCUCUCUGUCUGUCUUGUGUGGAAACUGGAAAAUGCUUCCCCACUCGUGGAAGUGCUCCUAAUGACCAAGAGCUUGAGUUUAUUGCGUGCAUGACCAAUAACAAGAAAGUGCUUGAUCAUUCAUGGAAUUAACACUGACAAAAAGUAGAAAUUCCUAGUGAGUUCUCAAGUAAUCUAUAAAAAAGAAAACGCAUCGUUUACUAGGUUUCCGGGAAAAGAGCAGUGUUGACAUUCAGUUUCUUUUCCAUUGAUCGUUAAAAAUUGAAGUGACAAUGCUAUCUACCUGUCUCUACUUUUCUGGAUAAACGGAUGGUCCGGUGAUGGUCCAUUAUUAUUAAGAUCACAAGACAUGGGAGGUCCUAGAUCGAUGGAUGGCUAUCAUUCCCCACGCCUUAUUCCCCUAAGAACGUGGUGCCGACGCAUAUGAAUCCGUCUGAAGUUUUACUUCGUUUUUCAAGACCCAUGCAUUAAAACUCCCAUAAAUUUCAUACAGUCCCUCCUGUCCAUCUUAUUGCUAAUCUUCGAGGCCAUGCAUGCCACUACAAGCAAUAUCACCAGAAAACGAGACGUCUAACUUAUGAACAAAACACAACCGUGGGAGACAGGAGUUUCUGUAAAAAGAAACUUGGUAAAAUUUACACUACAUAGAGAGAGAGAGAGAGAGAGAGAGAGAGAGAGAGAGAGAGAGAGAGAGAGAGAGUUGCCUGGUUGAUGCCCUUUCUGGGAGGAGAGAACCUCUGUGAAGAGAUGUUGCAGUUGCAGGAGGAGGAGAAUGAAGAGAAGGGUAGAAGAAGG